This 497-nucleotide ribosomal RNA is filed under the name uncultured bacterium. RNAcentral describes it as "partial 16S ribosomal RNA". It matches the Rfam family "Bacterial small subunit ribosomal RNA", at positions 28 to 507 of the family's 1533-position model. The record is from RNAcentral.
GAUGAACGCUGGCGGCGUGCCUAAUACAUGCAAGUCGAGCGGACAGACGAGGAGAUUGCUCCUCUGACGUUAGCGGCGGACGGGUGAGUAACACGUGGAUAACCUACCUAUAUGACUGGGGUAACUUCGGGAAACAGGAGAUAAUACCAGAUCAUAUAUUGAACCGCAUGGUUCAAUAGUGAAAGACGGUUUUGCUGUCACUUUUAGAUGGAUCCGCGUCGCAUUAGCUAGUUGGUAAGGUAACGGCUUACCAAGGCAACGAUGCGUAGCCGAUCUGAGAGGGUGAUCGGCCACACUGGAACUGAGACACGGUCCAGACUCCUACGGGAGGCAGCAGUAGGGAAUCUUGCGCAAUGGGCGAAAGCCUGACGGAGCAACGCCGCGUGAGUGAUGAAGGUCUUCGGAUUGUAAAACUCUUUUGUUAGGGAAGAACAAAUGUGUAAUUAACUAUGCCUGUUUUGACGGUACCUAAUCAGUAAGCAACGGCUAACUACGUG